CCUACGGGAGGCUGCAGUAGGGAAUAUUGCUCAAUGGGGGAAACCCUGAAGCAGCAACGCCGCGUGGAGGAUGAAGGUUUUGGGAGUGUAAACUCCUUUUGGUAGAGAAGAGAAUGACGGUAGAUAAGGAAUACGAACCGGCUAACGCAGUGCCAGCAGCGGCGGUAAUACGGAGGGUGCAAGCGUUACUCGGAAUGACUGGGCGUAAAGAGCGCGUAGGCGGGAUGGCAGGUAAGCUGUGAAAUCCUAUGGCUUAACCAUAGAACUGCAGUUGAAACUUUUAUUCUAGAGUAUGGGAGAGGUAGGUGGAAUUCUUGGUGUAGGGGUCAAAUCCGUAGAGAUCACG
RNAcentral lists this ribosomal RNA (346 nucleotides) under uncultured bacterium. RNAcentral describes it as "partial 16S ribosomal RNA". It matches the Rfam family "Bacterial small subunit ribosomal RNA", at positions 338 to 701 of the family's 1533-position model. The record is from RNAcentral.